RNAcentral lists this long non-coding RNA (596 nucleotides) under Parus major (Great Tit). Its description in RNAcentral is "lncRNA (ENSPMJG00000015720.1)". The record is from RNAcentral. Lineage: Eukaryota; Metazoa; Chordata; Aves; Passeriformes; Paridae.
GUGUUGCUGCAGGGAGCCUCUGGGAGCCCAAGGGUGGAGAGAUCUACCUUCAUCUGAAGAUCUCUGCUAAAGGUAAAGACCUCCUAACAGGCCAGACAGCCUUAGCAGGAGUUCAGAAGUCUUACACCAAGGUGGCUCUGGGCAGUCACUGCUGAAAACCACACAGUUUUGUGGCUCUUGCAUUGUCUCAUGUCAACCAGAAAUUCUGCAGUUGAUUUCUCAAGAGAAGAUGACUUGAAGGACAGAGAAUCCUUUAGAGCAUUACAUUCCCCUGUUCGGAGUGUGGACAAGUGUUUGGCAUUCUGCUUCUACAGAUCGCUGCCGCUCGUGGAGCGCAGAGGGGACGGCGAGACUCCUGCAUCUUUCAGCGAGAAGAAAGAAGCCAGCGGAGCAGACUAAUACGGACUUGUGUCGGGUGCCCUUGCACUACAAAGGCUGCCUUUAAAAGAGGAACGCAGUGCUAUUUAAUGAGCUGUGAGAUGAGGCACUGCUGCUAACGCUCAGAUCCCAGGAUUCAUCGGCUAUUCAUUGUGCUUAAUGUACAUGUUUCUGCACCGUGCAUUUAGGAGAUCCCAGAGAAGAAUCCAAAACGGCUG